This 484-nucleotide ribosomal RNA is filed under the name uncultured bacterium. RNAcentral describes it as "partial 16S ribosomal RNA". It matches the Rfam family "Bacterial small subunit ribosomal RNA", at positions 28 to 507 of the family's 1533-position model. The record is from RNAcentral.
AUUGAACGCUGGCGGCAUGCUUUACACAUGCAAGUCGAACGGCAGCGCGGGCUUCGGCCUGGCGGCGAGUGGCGAACGGGUGAGUAAUGCAUCGGAACGUGCCCAGUAGUGGGGGAUAGCCCGGCGAAAGCCGGAUUAAUACCGCAUACGACCUGAGGGUGAAAGCGGGGGACCGAAAGGCCUCGCGCUAUUGGAGCGGCCGAUGUCGGAUUAGCUAGUUGGUGGGGUAAAGGCUUACCAAGGCGACGAUCCGUAGCUGGUCUGAGAGGAUGACCAGCCACACUGGGACUGAGACACGGCCCAGACUCCUACGGGAGGCAGCAGUGGGGAAUUUUGGACAAUGGGGGCAACCCUGAUCCAGCCAUGCCGCGUGCGGGAAGAAGGCCUUCGGGUUGUAAACCGCUUUUGUUCGGGAAGAAAUCCUCUGGGCUAAUACCCCGGGGGGAUGACGGUACCGGAAGAAUAAGCACCGGCUAACUACGUG